GACGAACGCUGGCGGCGUGCUUAACACAUGCAAGUCGAACGGAAGGGCCCUGCUUUUGUGGGGUGCUCGAGUGGCGAACGGGUGAGUAACACGUGAGUAUCCUGCCCUUGACUUUGGGAUAACUUCAGGAAACUGGGGCUAAUACCGGAUAGGAGCUCCUGCUGCAUGGUGGGGGUUGGAACGUUUCGGCGGUUGGGGAUGGACUCGCGGCUUAUCAGCUUGUUGGUGGGGUAGUGGCUUACCAAGGCUUUGACGGGUAGCCGGCCUGAGAGGGUGACCGGCCACAUUAGGACUGAGAUACGGCCCAGACUCCUACGGGAGGCAGCAGUGGGGAAUAUUGCACAAUGGGCGGAAGCCUGAUGCAGCAAUGCCGCGUGCGGGAUGACGGCCUUCGGGUUGUAAACCGCUUUCGCCUGUGACGAAGCGUGAGUGACGGUAAUGGGUAAAGAAGCACCGGCUAACUACGUG
Molecule: ribosomal RNA, 468 nt
Filed under: uncultured bacterium
Lineage: Bacteria
Description: partial 16S ribosomal RNA
Rfam family: Bacterial small subunit ribosomal RNA
Source: RNAcentral